This is a long non-coding RNA of Panicum hallii, 482 nucleotides long. RefSeq lists it as uncharacterized. The record is from RefSeq and is a predicted model, not a curated record. NCBI's taxonomy places the organism in Eukaryota, Viridiplantae, Streptophyta, Magnoliopsida, Poales, Poaceae. The transcript has 2 exons.
UCCCACCUUCACAAGAUCCAAAUAAUAGAGCUUCAGUUUUUAUUUUCCUUUUCUUUUUGCGAGGACAAAAGCUCGCGCUCUUGACCAAAGCAGCCUAUAAAAGUAUACCCUGGCAGAGAGACCAUACGUGAACGCUGAACAGAAGCUACAGAACAUGGCUAUCAUCAAGCUUGCCCUUCCGGUGGCUCUCCUGCUGUGUGUGCAGGUCUCAUGGUGCCAAGCCGGGGAGGAUGUGCGCCAUGUACUGCCUGGAUGCGAAGUACAUGACGUGCCCGCCCAAGGAUACCGAGCAGCUGCCGCCUGCGUGUAACUGCUGCGUCGCCGAGAAGAGAGGCUGCACCAUCUACCUGAGCAACGGGGAGUGGAGAAAUGCCCAUGAAGUGAAGUCCAUCUUGUAAGAAGAGCCUGAUCGUGAAUCCAUCUUGUAUGGUCAAAAGUGAGAUAGAUCUUGCUGUCGAAUAAACAACAUUUCAGUUGUAUUU